AGCGGGGCUGCACCAAUUGAUAGUCUAGGCCGAGGCUCCAGCUUAGGCAUUUUUGGAGUUCUUGAGGUAGUGUCGGAGGUGAUGCAUCUGGGCUGUAGGUAUCCAAGUAGCCUAUACUGUCCAUCACAUUUGGCAGGCGAGGAAUAGUAUGGUGUUCGAGUCAAGAAAGUGCUCAAUGAGACUCAUUCUAAAGAGAGUCUUGAUUUGACUGCAG
Molecule: long non-coding RNA, 214 nt
Filed under: Elaeis guineensis (African oil palm)
Lineage: Eukaryota; Viridiplantae; Streptophyta; Magnoliopsida; Arecales; Arecaceae
Description: long non-coding RNA (EGUI_LNC049364)
Source: RNAcentral